GCAAACCAACAACGUUGUCAGAGUAAAGUUCAAAGACAGCAAGAAAUAUAUUUUCUCUUCACAACCAUUUCACACAUUUUUUGAAUGUGUUGCCAAGAAGUUUAAUCUUUCUACAAUGAAUGUCUUUGCUGACUUAAAGACAGAGGUUGAUGAGGAAUAAUAUCUGCUGACAUGACCAGACUUUGGUGUCCUAGAAAUCUUCAUCCCAGAAAGCACAACAAGCCUUGAUGAUUAUUUAUCUAAUACUGAGGGCACGUCAGAGUCUGAUGGGACCGCAGUGUUGAUUAGAAAUCCUCCUGAAAAAAAUCAAGCCGAGGAACGUCAUCUAGUCCAGAUGAUCGAAAAUAUCCUAAAGGGCAGCCCUGGAGGCGGGAAGGUCAUAAAGGAAUACCCUCACACAAAGUCUUUCAGAUGGCCGCGGACGUGACAUGGUGAAAAUCUUGGUAGCACAUUUAACAAAGGAAUAUGGAUCUUGCCCUUACCGAAGUUUGAAGGAAGAAUGUGCAAAGGGUUUUAUCUCCAUAUUCCCAUGCUUUACUGACCCCAGGAGCAAGCUUAGUUAUGCAAGUACC
Paramisgurnus dabryanus is the source of this 572-nucleotide non-coding RNA. The record is from RefSeq and is a predicted model, not a curated record. Lineage: Eukaryota; Metazoa; Chordata; Actinopteri; Cypriniformes; Cobitidae.